This 373-nucleotide ribosomal RNA is filed under the name uncultured organism. RNAcentral describes it as "partial 16S ribosomal RNA". It matches the Rfam family "Bacterial small subunit ribosomal RNA", at positions 527 to 896 of the family's 1533-position model. The record is from RNAcentral.
GUAGGUGGCAAGCGUUGUCCGGAAUUAUUGGGCGUAAAGCGCGCGCAGGCGGUUCUUUAAGUCUGAUGUGAAAGCCCACGGCUCAACCGUGGAGGGUCAUUGGAAACUGGAGAACUUGAGUACAGAAGAGGAAAGCGGAAUUCCACGUGUAGCGGUGAAAUGCGUAGAGAUGUGGAGGAACACCAGUGGCGAAGGCGGCUUUCUGGUCUGUAACUGACGCUGAGGCGCGAAAGCGUGGGGAGCAAACAGGGAUUAGAUACCCUGGUAGUCCACGCCGUAAACGAUGAGUGCUAAGUGCUAGGGGGUUUCCGCCCCCUUAGUGCUGCAGCUAACGCAUUAAGCACUCCGCCUGGGGAGUACGGCCGCAAGGCUG